RNAcentral lists this ribosomal RNA (484 nucleotides) under uncultured bacterium. RNAcentral describes it as "partial 16S ribosomal RNA". It matches the Rfam family "Bacterial small subunit ribosomal RNA", at positions 30 to 507 of the family's 1533-position model. The record is from RNAcentral.
AUUGAACGCUGGCGGCAGGCCUAACACAUGCAAGUCGAGCGGAUGAAGGGAGCUUGCUCCUGGAUUCAGCGGCGGACGGGUGAGUAAUGCCUAGGAAUCUGCCUGGUAGUGGGGGAUAACGUCCGGAAACGGGCGCUAAUACCGCAUACGUCCUGAGGGAGAAAGUGGGGGAUCUUCGGACCUCACGCUAUCAGAUGAGCCUAGGUCGGAUUAGCUAGUUGGUGGGGUAAAGCCCUACCAAGGCGACGAUCCGUAACUGGUCUGAGAGGAUGAUCAGUCACACUGGAACUGAGACACGGUCCAGACUCCUACGGGAGGCAGCAGUGGGGAAUAUUGGACAAAGGGCGAAAGCCUGAUCCAGCCAUGCCGCGUGUGUGAAGAAGGUCUUCGGAUUGUAAAGCACUUUAAGUUGGGAGGAAGGGCAGUAAGUUAAUACCUUGCUGUUUUGACGUUACCAACAGAAUAAGCACCGGCUAACUUCGUG